RNAcentral lists this ribosomal RNA (257 nucleotides) under uncultured Gardnerella sp. Its description in RNAcentral is "partial 16S ribosomal RNA". It matches the Rfam family "Bacterial small subunit ribosomal RNA", at positions 98 to 354 of the family's 1533-position model. Lineage: Bacteria; Bacillati; Actinomycetota; Actinomycetes; Bifidobacteriales; Bifidobacteriaceae. The record is from RNAcentral.
CGGAACGGGUGAGUAAUGCGUGACCAACCUGCCCCAUGCUCCAGAAUAGCUCUUGGAAACGGGUGGUAAUGCUGGAUGCUCCAACUUGACGCAUGUCUUGUUGGGAAAGUGUUUAGUGGCAUGGGAUGGGGUCGCGUCCUAUCAGCUUGUAGGCGGGGUAAUGGCCCACCUAGGCUUCGACGGGUAGCCGGCCUGAGAGGGCGGACGGCCACAUUGGGACUGAGAUACGGCCCAGACUCCUACGGGAGGCAGCAGGG